RNAcentral lists this ribosomal RNA (2853 nucleotides) under Vibrio cholerae HC-61A1. RNAcentral describes it as "bacterial LSU rRNA". It matches the Rfam family "Bacterial large subunit ribosomal RNA". Lineage: Bacteria; Pseudomonadati; Pseudomonadota; Gammaproteobacteria; Vibrionales; Vibrionaceae. The record is from RNAcentral.
GGCAGUCAGAGGCGAUGAAGGACGUACUAACUUGCGAUAAGCGCAGAUAAGGCAGUAAGAGCCGUUUGAGUCUGCGAUUUCCGAAUGGGGAAACCCAACUGCAUAAGCAGUUACUGUUAACUGAAUACAUAGGUUAACAGAGCAAACCGGGGGAACUGAAACAUCUAAGUACCCCGAGGAGAAGAAAUCAACCGAGAUUCCGGUAGUAGCGGCGAGCGAACCUGGAUUAGCCCUUAAGCACUCGGUGAAGUAGGUGAACAAGCUGGAAAGCUUGGCGAUACAGGGUGAUAGCCCCGUAACCGACGCUUCAUCGAGCGUGAAAUCGAGUAGGGCGGGACACGUGAUAUCCUGUCUGAAUAUGGGGGGGACCAUCCUCCAAGGCUAAAUACUCCUGACUGACCGAUAGUGAACCAGUACCGUGAGGGAAAGGCGAAAAGAACCCCUGUGAGGGGAGUGAAAUAGAACCUGAAACCGUGUACGUACAAGCAGUAGGAGCACCUUCGUGGUGUGACUGCGUACCUUUUGUAUAAUGGGUCAGCGACUUAUAUUCAGUGGCAAGGUUAACCGUAUAGGGGAGCCGUAGCGAAAGCGAGUCUUAACUGGGCGCUCAGUCUCUGGAUAUAGACCCGAAACCGGGUGAUCUAGCCAUGGGCAGGUUGAAGGUUGAGUAACAUCAACUGGAGGACCGAACCGACUAAUGUUAGAAAAAUUAGCGGAUGACUUGUGGCUAGGGGUGAAAGGCCAAUCAAACUCGGAGAUAGCUGGUUCUCCCCGAAAGCUAUUUAGGUAGCGCCUCGGACGAAUACUACUGGGGGUAGAGCACUGUUAAGGCUAGGGGGUCAUCCCGACUUACCAACCCUUUGCAAACUCCGAAUACCAGUAAGUACUAUCCGGGAGACACACGGCGGGUGCUAACGUCCGUCGUGGAGAGGGAAACAACCCAGACCGCCAGCUAAGGUCCCAAAGUAUUGCUAAGUGGGAAACGAUGUGGGAAGGCUCAGACAGCUAGGAUGUUGGCUUAGAAGCAGCCAUCAUUUAAAGAAAGCGUAAUAGCUCACUAGUCGAGUCGGCCUGCGCGGAAGAUGUAACGGGGCUAAGCAAUACACCGAAGCUGCGGCAAUGUCUUUUAGACAUUGGGUAGGGGAGCGUUCUGUAAGCCGUUGAAGGUGAAUCGUAGGGUUUGCUGGAGGUAUCAGAAGUGCGAAUGCUGACAUGAGUAACGACAAAGGGGGUGAAAAACCUCCUCGCCGGAAGACCAAGGGUUCCUGUCCAACGUUAAUCGGGGCAGGGUGAGUCGACCCCUAAGGUGAGGCCGAAAGGCGUAAUCGAUGGGAAACGGGUUAAUAUUCCCGUACUUCUGACUAUUGCGAUGGGGGGACGGAGAAGGCUAGGUGGGCCAGGCGACGGUUGUCCUGGUUCAAGUGCGUAGGCUUGAGAGUUAGGUAAAUCCGGCUCUCUCUAAGGCUGAGACACGACGUCGAGCUACUACGGUAGUGAAGUCAUUGAUGCCAUGCUUCCAGGAAAAGCCUCUAAGCUUCAGAUAGUCAGGAAUCGUACCCCAAACCGACACAGGUGGUCGGGUAGAGAAUACCAAGGCGCUUGAGAGAACUCGGGUGAAGGAACUAGGCAAAAUGGUACCGUAACUUCGGGAGAAGGUACGCUCUUGAUGGUGAAGUCCCUCGCGGAUGGAGCUGACGAGAGUCGCAGAUACCAGGUGGCUGCAACUGUUUAUUAAAAACACAGCACUGUGCAAAAUCGCAAGAUGACGUAUACGGUGUGACGCCUGCCCGGUGCCGGAAGGUUAAUUGAUGGGGUUAGCGCAAGCGAAGCUCUUGAUCGAAGCCCCGGUAAACGGCGGCCGUAACUAUAACGGUCCUAAGGUAGCGAAAUUCCUUGUCGGGUAAGUUCCGACCUGCACGAAUGGCGUAAUGAUGGCCACGCUGUCUCCACCCGAGACUCAGUGAAAUUGAAAUCGCUGUGAAGAUGCAGUGUACCCGCGGCUAGACGGAAAGACCCCGUGAACCUUUACUACAGCUUGGCACUGAACAUUGAACCUACAUGUGUAGGAUAGGUGGGAGGCUAUGAAGACGUGACGCCAGUUGCGUUGGAGCCGUCCUUGAAAUACCACCCUUGUAUGUUUGAUGUUCUAACUUAGACCCAUUAUCUGGGUUGAGGACAGUGCCUGGUGGGUAGUUUGACUGGGGCGGUCUCCUCCCAAAGAGUAACGGAGGAGCACGAAGGUGGGCUAAUCACGGUUGGACAUCGUGAGGUUAGUGCAAUGGCAUAAGCCCGCUUAACUGCGAGAAUGACGGUUCGAGCAGGUGCGAAAGCAGGUCAUAGUGAUCCGGUGGUUCUGUAUGGAAGGGCCAUCGCUCAACGGAUAAAAGGUACUCCGGGGAUAACAGGCUGAUACCGCCCAAGAGUUCAUAUCGACGGCGGUGUUUGGCACCUCGAUGUCGGCUCAUCACAUCCUGGGGCUGAAGUCGGUCCCAAGGGUAUGGCUGUUCGCCAUUUAAAGUGGUACGCGAGCUGGGUUUAGAACGUCGUGAGACAGUUCGGUCCCUAUCUGCCGUGGGCGUUGGAAGAUUGAAGGGGGCUGCUCCUAGUACGAGAGGACCGGAGUGGACGAACCUCUGGUGUUCGGGUUGUGUCGCCAGACGCAUUGCCCGGUAGCUAAGUUCGGAAUUGAUAAGCGCUGAAAGCAUCUAAGCGCGAAGCGAGCCCUGAGAUGAGUCUUCCCUGACAGUUUAACUGUCCUAAAGGGUUGUUCGAGACUAGAACGUUGAUAGGCAGGGUGUGUAAGCGUUGUGAGGCGUUGAGCUAACCUGUACUAAUUGCCCGUGAGGCUUAACC